Proteus penneri ATCC 35198 is the source of this 117-nucleotide non-coding RNA. NCBI's taxonomy places the organism in Bacteria, Pseudomonadati, Pseudomonadota, Gammaproteobacteria, Enterobacterales, Morganellaceae. The record is from Rfam.
AUUCAAUUGUGUUAAUUACACACACAAAUCGGCACAUAACGCCGGGGUGCUCUUAUGUGAAGGUUUUAGCCUUUACAGCUGAUGAGUCGGUCGUAUGGGAUUUGUGGACGAAAUAAC